AGUGAACGCUGGCGGUAGGCCUAACACAUGCAAGUCGAACGGCAGCACAGUAAGAGCUUGCUCUUACGGGUGGCGAGUGGCGGACGGGUGAGGAAUACAUCGGAAUCUACUUUUUCGUGGGGGAUAACGUAGGGAAACUUACGCUAAUACCGCAUACGACCUACGGGUGAAAGCAGGGGAUCUUCGGACCUUGCGCGAUUGAAUGAGCCGAUGUCGGAUUAGCUAGUUGGCGGGGUAAGGGCCCACCAAGGCGACGAUCCGUAGCUGGCCUGAGAGGAUGAUCAGCCACACUGGAACUGAGACACGGUCCAGACUCCUACGGGAGGCAGCAGUGGGGAAUAUUGGACAAUGGGCGCAAGCCUGAUCCAGCCAUACCGCGUGGGUGAAGAAGGCCUUCGGGUUGUAAAGCCCUUUUGUUGGGAAAGAAAAGCAGCAGGUUAAUACCCCGCUGUUCUGACGGUACCCAAAGAAUAAGCACCGGCUAACUUCGUG
RNAcentral lists this ribosomal RNA (492 nucleotides) under uncultured bacterium. RNAcentral's name for it is "partial 16S ribosomal RNA". It matches the Rfam family "Bacterial small subunit ribosomal RNA", at positions 29 to 507 of the family's 1533-position model. The record is from RNAcentral.